RNAcentral lists this long non-coding RNA (322 nucleotides) under Fragaria vesca (wild strawberry). Its description in RNAcentral is "long non-coding RNA (FVES_LNC001501)". Lineage: Eukaryota; Viridiplantae; Streptophyta; Magnoliopsida; Rosales; Rosaceae. The record is from RNAcentral.
ACAACAACAGCAGUGGAUGCAUCAGCAUCAGCAGCAAUGGAUGGCGAUGCAGUACCCGGCGGCGGCCAUGGCGAUGAUGCAGCAGCAGAUGAUGGUGUACCCGCAGCAUUACAUGCCUGCUUACGCCGCGCAUCCGCAUCACAAUCCCUACCAGCAGGCUCAGGCGGCCGCCGCCGCGGUUGCGUAUCAGCAGCAGCAGCAGCCGCCUAAGCAGCAACUGCAGCAGUCGCAGUCGCAGUCGCAGAAGAUGGGGCCUACUGAUGAGGUCAGGACCAUCUGGGCUGGCGACCUGCACCACUGGAUGGACGAGGCCUACCUUCAC